RNAcentral lists this small RNA (87 nucleotides) under Mycoplasma leachii PG50. The record is from RNAcentral. Lineage: Bacteria; Bacillati; Mycoplasmatota; Mollicutes; Mycoplasmatales; Mycoplasmataceae.
UUAUAUAAAGUUAAAGCAUCAAAUGUUUCAAUUUCUUUAUUUAACUCUUCUAAAAAUUUAGGAUUAGAAAAAAUAGCAUUUAAAAUA